Molecule: non-coding RNA, 92 nt
Filed under: unclassified sequences
Description: RT-9 RNA
Rfam family: RT-9 RNA
About the family: Firmicutes. Nearby to self-splicing intron genes
Source: Rfam by way of RNAcentral
GAUUAUUAAGAUUACGGUUCUAAUAACAUGACUUGAAAUUAUUGCAAGGGAGUUUUGUUCUCUCGCUUUACAGCGUAAACACAUGAAUAAUG